GCCAAAGUGGUGAAACUGGCAAACACGCACGACUCAAAAUCGUGUGCCCCUUAUCCGGGCUUGGGGGUUCAACUCCCCCCUUUGGCA
Molecule: transfer RNA, 87 nt
Filed under: Candidatus Shapirobacteria bacterium CG09_land_8_20_14_0_10_47_13
Lineage: Bacteria; Candidatus Shapironibacteriota
Description: tRNA-Leu
Rfam family: tRNA
About the family: Transfer RNA (tRNA) molecules are approximately 80 nucleotides in length. Their secondary structure includes four short double-helical elements and three loops (D, anti-codon, and T loops).
Source: RNAcentral